GACGAACGCUGGCGGCGUGCUUAACACAUGCAAGUCGAACGCUGAAGCUUGGUGCUUGCACUGGGUGGAUGAGUGGCGAACGGGUGAGUAAUACGUGAGUAACCUGCCCUUGACUCUGGGAUAAGCCUGGGAAACUGGGUCUAAUACUGGAUAUGACAUGCCACUGCAUGGUGGUGUGUGGAAAGGGUUUUUGUGGUUUUGGAUGGGCUCACGGCCUAUCAGCUUGUUGGCGGGGUAAUGGCCUACCAAGGCGACGACGGGUAGCCGGCCUGAGAGGGUGACCGGCCACACUGGGACUGAGACACGGACCAGACUCCUACGGGAGGCAGCAGUGGGGAAUAUUGCACAGUGGGCGGAAGCCUGAUGCAGCGACGCCGCGUGAGGGAUGACGGCCUUCGGGUUGUAAACCUCUUUCAGCACGGAAGAAGCGAGAGUGACGGUACGUGCAGAAGAAGCGCCGGCUAACUACGUG
RNAcentral lists this ribosomal RNA (472 nucleotides) under uncultured bacterium. RNAcentral describes it as "partial 16S ribosomal RNA". It matches the Rfam family "Bacterial small subunit ribosomal RNA", at positions 28 to 507 of the family's 1533-position model. The record is from RNAcentral.